This is a non-coding RNA of Jatropha curcas, 813 nucleotides long. Lineage: Eukaryota; Viridiplantae; Streptophyta; Magnoliopsida; Malpighiales; Euphorbiaceae. The record is from RefSeq and is a predicted model, not a curated record.
UGAACGUCCAUCGAACUAGGUAGCUCUAAAUACAACUUGUAGUAGUAAAAUAAGGGUGGAUUGGGGUACCAGAUUUUAAGAUAAAAAAAAAAUAAAGCCUUCAUAGAAAAAUGGCGGUGGAGUUUUAAGUCAGAAUUUGGAUUUCUUUAGCAUCACAUUUUUAUCUCAAAAUAUGGAGAGGAUGCAAUGGUAAGAAUUGGUAUUCGUAGAGAAUUAUGGAAAAGGUUUUCUCAUUGUUGGAGAGACAUUGUGGCUAUUAGAGAGUCUCCUUUCUUAGAUGAUUUUUUUCAAAAGUGGGUUUCAUUGGAUUCUAGGAGAUGGAAAACAGAUUAGUUUCUAGUUGGAUCUUUGACUAUUUGAAGUAAAUUGAAGACACUAUUUACAAGACUGUUUGGCUUAGUAGAAAAUAAAAGAGCAAGGGUAAAUAAUUAUAGCUUCUUUUGAAUGGAAAAUGGCAUUGGGAAUUAUAGUGGAGGAGACAACCAAGAAGUUUGAGGAGGAAUCAAGGAAACUGCUCAAAUAAAAACUUGAUGAAGUGUCAGUUCUUCCUGAAUUUGAGGAUCAAGCGGUAUGAAAAUUCAGCAGAAGAUGUACAUUUUUUUAUUAAAAAUUUAUAUAGCUUAUUACAAGAAAAGGAACUUGGAGCUACUGUAGUUCAAUUUAAUUUUAAACAUCUUUGGUCAUCUUUAAUAUCUCCUAAAGUAGCUUGCUUUGUUUGGAGAGCUUAUUUAAAUAAAAUUCUUACUAGAAUAAACCUGGUUAGAUGAUGUAUUAUUUAUGGAAUGGAUGAAUGUAUUUAUCCUUUUUGUGAAA